This 465-nucleotide ribosomal RNA is filed under the name Vreelandella stevensii. RNAcentral's name for it is "partial 16S ribosomal RNA". It matches the Rfam family "Bacterial small subunit ribosomal RNA", at positions 338 to 795 of the family's 1533-position model. The record is from RNAcentral. Lineage: Bacteria; Pseudomonadati; Pseudomonadota; Gammaproteobacteria; Oceanospirillales; Halomonadaceae.
CCUACGGUGGGCAGCAGUGGGGAAUAUUGGACAAUGGGCGAAAGCCUGAUCCAGCCAUGCCGCGUGUGUGAAGAAGGCCUUCGGGUUGUAAAGCACUUUCAGUGGGGAAGAAAGCCUUGGGGCUAAUACCCUCGAGGAAGGACAUCACCCACAGAAGAAGCACCGGCUAACUCCGUGCCAGCAGCCGCGGUAAUACGGAGGGUGCGGGCGUUAAUCGGAAUUACUGGGCGUAAAGCGCGCGUAGGCGGUCUGAUAAGCCGGUUGUGAAAGCCCCGGGCUCAACCUGGGAACGGCAUCCGGAACUGUCAGGCUAGAGUGCAGGAGAGGAAGGUAGAAUUCCCGGUGUAGCGGUGAAAUGCGUAGAGAUCGGGAGGAAUACCAGUGGCGAAGGCGGCCUUCUGGACUGACACUGACGCUGAGGUGCGAAAGCGUGGGUAGCAAACAGGAUUAGAUACCCUUGUAGUC